Molecule: unclassified non-coding RNA, 146 nt
Filed under: uncultured Leotiomycetes
Lineage: Eukaryota; Fungi; Ascomycota; Leotiomycetes
Description: sequence contains ITS2
Source: RNAcentral
CAACCCAUCAAGCUUCGGCUUGGUCUUGGGGCCUGCGGUUUCGCAGCCUCUAAACUCAGUGGCGGUGCUAUUGAGCUCUGAGCGUAGUAAUUUUUCUCGCUAUAGAGUCUCGGUGGUGACUUGCCAGUAACCCCCAAUUUUUAUCA